This 253-nucleotide ribosomal RNA is filed under the name uncultured bacterium. Its description in RNAcentral is "partial 16S ribosomal RNA". It matches the Rfam family "Bacterial small subunit ribosomal RNA", at positions 524 to 776 of the family's 1533-position model. The record is from RNAcentral.
UACGAAGGGGGCUAGCGUUGCUCGGAAUUACUGGGCGUAAAGCGCACGUAGGCGGCUCUUUAAGUCGGGGGUGAAAUCCUGGAGCUCAACUCCAGAACUGCCUUCGAUACUGGGAAGCUCGAGUCCGGGAGAGGUGAGUGGAACUGCGAGUGUAGAGGUGAAAUUCGUAGAUAUUCGCAAGAACACCAGUGGCGAAGGCGGCUCACUGGCCCGGUACUGACGCUGAGGUGCGAAAGCGUGGGGAGCAAACAGG